RNAcentral lists this ribosomal RNA (849 nucleotides) under uncultured bacterium. RNAcentral describes it as "bacterial SSU rRNA". It matches the Rfam family "Bacterial small subunit ribosomal RNA", at positions 62 to 896 of the family's 1533-position model. The record is from RNAcentral.
UCGAGGGGCAGCGGUGGUGAAGGCUUGCCUUUACCAGCCGGCGACCGGCGCACGGGUGAGUAACACGUAUGCAACCUGCCUGCCACAGCCGGAUAAUCGGGAGAAAUCCCGUCUAAUACGGCAUAAUGCACCUAUGGGACAUCCUGUUGGUGCCAAAGGUUAAUUCCGGUGGCGGAUGGGCAUGCGUCGCAUUAGUUAGUUGGCGGUGUAACGGACCACCAAGACGACGAUGCGUAGGGGUUCUGAGAGGAAGGUCCCCCACACUGGUACUGAGACACGGACCAGACUCCUACGGGAGGCAGCAGUGAGGAAUAUUGGUCAAUGGGCGGGAGCCUGAACCAGCCAAGUCGCGUGAGGGAUGACGGCCCUAUGGGUUGUAAACCUCUUUUGCCGGGGAGCAAAGUGCCGCACGUGUGCGGUUUGGAGAGUACCCGGAGAAAAAGCAUCGGCUAACUCCGUGCCAGCAGCCGCGGUAAUACGGAGGAUGCGAGCGUUAUCCGGAUUUAUUGGGUUUAAAGGGUGCGUAGGCGGACGCUUAAGUCAGCGGUAAAAUUGCGGGGCUCAACCUCGUCGAGCCGUUGAAACUGGGUGCCUUGAGUGGGCGAGAAGUACGCGGAAUGCGUGGUGUAGCGGUGAAAUGCAUAGAUAUCACGCAGAACUCCGAUUGCGAAGGCAGCGUACCGGCGCCCAACUGACGCUGAAGCACGAAGGCGUGGGUAUCGAACAGGAUUAGAUACCCUGGUAGUCCACGCAGUAAACGAUGAAUGCUAGUUGUCCGGGGCGAUUGAGUUCUGGGUGACACAGCGAAAGCGUUAAGCAUUCCACCUGGGGAGUACGCCGGCAACGGUG